Molecule: long non-coding RNA, 1927 nt
Filed under: Salvia miltiorrhiza (redroot sage)
Lineage: Eukaryota; Viridiplantae; Streptophyta; Magnoliopsida; Lamiales; Lamiaceae
Description: long non-coding RNA (SMIL_LNC000798)
Source: RNAcentral
GGAAAAGAGGGGCAAAUCCUGAUUCGAUGGAUGAGGAUGUUGAAGAAGUAUCAGAAAUCAGGCCUUCACAUUUUGAGGAGUCCAUGAAAUAUGCUCGCAGGAGUGUGAGUGAUGCUGACAUACGGAAAUACCAGGCAUUUGCCCAGACCUUGCAGCAGUCGCGUGGGUUUGGAACUGAAUUCCGUUUUGCUGAACAACCAGCUGGGGCUGCUGCAUCAGACCCGUUUGCAUCAUCUGCUGGUGCAGCUGAUGAAGAUGAUUUGUAUAGUUAGAUGCUUCAGGGAGCCAUGGUUUUUUCUUUUGCUCCGCCUCAGAAAUUCAGUAUCUGCAUACAACGAGGUGAUCACCCCUUAUACAUUUAUUUACAAAGAAAGGCUACUUAAGACUUUUGGCUUUCCAGCAAUAACCGGGUUGCUCUGUUCCUAUAUGUUAUGUCGACUAUGGAGUUAGCAUCUAUAGACCCAAAGAUUAUCUUAUUCGAGCAUUUUCUAUCUCUAGCCGAUGAGUCUGUUCAGAGUGUCGAUGCAGGUUAUCGAAGUUAUGUUCGUUUCUGGCGGAUCCACAUGGAGAUUAGGGUGGGCUGAUGCCCAUCCCUAAAUUUUCAUCUUUUUUUUGUAAAUAUAUAUAUAUAUAUAUAUAGGGUGCGGUUAUAGUGAGAACCACACUUAUCGUGAGAACAUAAGAACCAUUAAAAUCAAUGCAUCUACUAUAUAAAUUAAUGUAUUCCCUUACUAUAUAAAUUAAUGUAUUCCCUAUUAAAUUUAAUGCAUCCGAAAAUAAUAAAUUUUUGGCUCCCUUCAGGAUUCGAACCCAGGAUCUGCAUUCAUCCACCAAGAUGAUGCAUCCACCGUAGAUCUUGAUGAUCGAAUGGUUUAAAAUGAUUCUCUAUUCUAAUUUUAUUUAGUGGUUCUUAUUUGAACCUCUCCCUAUAUAUAUAUAUAUAAAUUAAUAAAAAAUUAAAAUAUAUAUAUAUAUAUAUAUAAUAUUAAGUAUUUAUUACAUUGAAGUAAGAUUUUCUUCUCACUCCCUUUCAAGNAACCCACCCACUCUGUUCUCUACUGUUUCCUUCAUAAGAUCAGUUAUUACUUGUAUCAACUCAAUUAAAGUCCCUGGUUUUAGGUCUUCGAAUAAGAUUCUUAGCGGUGCAGUGGCUUAGAGCUGGAAACAUAGUUUGUGUAUGUUGCUCGUUACGUUUGUAUCUAGGAGUUGAUCCAAUGAUUUUAUGUUGAUGUUGAUCAUUUAUGCUUAGUCUUUUCGCCUCUGGUAUUUAGUGAGUUCAUCCAGAUUAUUUCCCACUGGCAUUAUACGUGCGAGUUAGUUUAUUGACAAUAAUGUGUUUUCCAGGACAUAGAGAGGGAGAGGAAAAGAGGGGCAAAUCCUGAUUCGAUGGAUGAGGAUGUUGAAGAAGUAUCAGAAAUCAGGCCUUCACAUUUUGAGGAGUCCAUGAAAUAUGCUCGCAGGAGUGUGAGUGAUGCUGACAUACGGAAAUACCAGGCAUUUGCCAGACCUUGCAGCAGUCGCGUGGGUUUGGAACUGAAUUCCGUUUUGCUGAACAACCAGCUGGGGCUGCUGCAUCAGACCCGUUUGCAUCGUCUGCUGGUGCAGCUGAUGAAGAUGAUUUGAUAGUUAGAUGCUUCAGGGGACCAUUGGUUUUUUCUUUGCUCCGCCUAGAAAUUCAGUAUCUGCAUACAACGAGGUGAUCACCCCUUAUACAUUUAUUUACAAAGAAAGGCUACUUAAGACUUUUGGCUUUCCAGCAAUAACCGGGUUGCUCUGUUCCUAUAUGUUAUGUCGACUAUGGAGUUAGCAUCUAUAGACCCAAAGAUUAUCUUAUUCGAGCAUUUUCUAUCUCUAGCCGAUGAGUCUGUUCAGAGUGUUGAUGCAGGUUAUCGAAGUUAUGUUCGUUUCUGGCGGGGUCCACAUGGAG